This 460-nucleotide ribosomal RNA is filed under the name uncultured bacterium. Its description in RNAcentral is "partial 16S ribosomal RNA". It matches the Rfam family "Bacterial small subunit ribosomal RNA", at positions 338 to 795 of the family's 1533-position model. The record is from RNAcentral.
CCUACGGGUGGCAGCAGUGAGGAAUAUUGGUCAAUGGGCGAGAGCCUGAACCAGCCAAGUCGCGUGAAGGAUGAAGGAUCUAUGGUUUGUAAACCUCUUUUAUCUGGGAAUAAAGUGCGGCACGUGUUGCUUUUUGUAUGUACCAUAUGAAUAAGCAUCGGCUAACUCCGUGCCAGCAGCCGCGGUAAUACGGAGGAUGCGAGCGUUAUCCGGAUUUAUUGGGUUUAAAGGGUGCGUAGGUGGUUGAUUAAGUCAGCGGUGAAAGUUUGUGGCGCAAACAUAGAAUUGCCGUUGAAACUGGUUGACUUGAGUAGACGAGAGGUAUGCGGAAUGCGUGGUGUAGCGGUGAAAUGCAUAGAUAUCACGCAGAACUCCGAUUGCGAAGGCAGCAUACUAAACCAUAACUGACACUGAAGCACGAAAGCGUGGGGAUCAAACAGGAUUAGAUACCCGAGUAGUC